This 408-nucleotide ribosomal RNA is filed under the name uncultured Rhodospirillaceae bacterium. RNAcentral describes it as "bacterial SSU rRNA". It matches the Rfam family "Bacterial small subunit ribosomal RNA", at positions 976 to 1382 of the family's 1533-position model. The record is from RNAcentral. Lineage: Bacteria; Pseudomonadati; Pseudomonadota; Alphaproteobacteria; Rhodospirillales; Rhodospirillaceae.
UGGUCUUGACAUCCCGGGAAUCUUGUGGAAACACGAGAGUGCCUCGCAAGAGGAGCCUGGAGACAGGUGCUGCAUUGGCUGUCGUCAGCCCGUGUCGUGAGAUGUUGGGUUAAGUCCCGCAACGAGUCGCAACCCCUAUCUUUAGUUGCCAUCAUUGAGUUGGGCACUCUAAAGAGACUGCCGGUGUCAAACCGGAGGAGGUGGGAUGACGUCAAGUCCUCAUGGCCCUUACGGGCUGGGCUACACACGUACUACAAUGGUGGUGACAGUGGGAUGCGAAAGCGCGAGCUGGAGCGAAUCCCCAAAAGCCAUCUCAGUUCGGAUUGCACUCUGCAACUCGAGUGCAUGAAGUUGGAAUCGCUAGUAAUCGUGGAUCAGAAUGCCACGGUGAAUACGUUCCCGGGCCUU